GAUGAACGCUGGCGGCGUGCCUAAUACAUGCAAGUCGAGCGAACAGACGAGGAGCUUGCUCCUCUGACGUUAGCGGCGGACGGGUGAGUAACACGUGGAUAACCUACCUAUAAGACUGGGAUAACUUCGGGAAACCGGAGCUAAUACCGGAUAAUAUAUUGAACCGCAUGGUUCAAUAGUGAAAGACGGUUUUGCUGUCACUUAUAGAUGGAUCCGCGCCGCAUUAGCUAGUUGGUAAGGUAACGGCUUACCAAGGCAACGAUGCGUAGCCGACCUGAGAGGGGGUGCGGCCACACUGGAACUGAGACACGGUCCAAACUCCUACGGGAGGCAGCAGGAGGGAAUUUUCCGAAAGGGGCGAAAGCCUGACGGAGCAACGCCGCGUGGGGGAUGAAGGUCUUCGGAUCGUAAAACUCUUUUAUUAGGGAAAAAAAAAUGUGUAAGUAAAUAUGCACGUUUUGACGGUACCAAAUCAAAAAGCCACGGCUAACUACGU
RNAcentral lists this ribosomal RNA (496 nucleotides) under uncultured bacterium. RNAcentral describes it as "partial 16S ribosomal RNA". It matches the Rfam family "Bacterial small subunit ribosomal RNA", at positions 28 to 506 of the family's 1533-position model. The record is from RNAcentral.